GAGAGAGAGAGAGAGAGAGAGAAUGCGCACUUAGAUUUUCUUUUUCUCUUUUUUAACAUUGCUGAAAACACAAUAGAGGCAAAGAGGAAAUGUGGAAAUUUGUGCUACAGGAAGUGGGCUAAUAUGCACACGUUCGGGGUCAGAUCACACCGUAGCCUACAAAGAGAUGUAUUCAGUGUGGAAUUCUGUCCUUUCCUGGGUCAUAGAGGAACCAACAACAACAACAACAAGCCAGGAGGGAUCGUGUGUCACAAUUAACUGCAAAUAUAAAUAUCAGGAUGGACUGCAACUGUUGUGGAUUAAAGAUCCUAAGUGGAUUGAAAAAGAAAAGAGAUUUGAUGGAAUUAUUGCAUAUAGUAGUACAGAUGAGCGGCCAGAGGUCGAUGAGUACUCUAACAGAGUGGAAGUUUUUAAUGACCAUAAGCAGAGCAGUCAUUGGACCAAUUGCACAGUAAAAAUUCAUGAUCUUAAAAAGAACGACAGUGGAAACUAUACAUUUAGGUACAUAGGAUCAGAGAAAUAUAUAAGUAAUACAUUUCUUCUCACAGUCAUGGACAAUCCCUGCAAGGUCCACAUUAAGCCAGCAAAUCUGAACAAGUCACUCAAAGAAGGAGAAAAAGUGAGUCUUCAAUGUGCAACAUCAGCAGCCUGUGAGUUUCAUCCUUUAUGGCAAUCGUCUGGCUCAAGUGAGAUUCUCGAAAGUGAGCAUAGUAAAGAUGAGGUGGAAAAACGCAGUGAGCUGCAGUUGAUCGUGAGCUGGACAGAUGAUGGGAGAACUUUGACAUGUCGUCCUUCUAGAAGUAAUGACAACUGCCUGGAGAGGAGGGUUACACUGAGAGUGGAAUGUACAGAUGGACAAAAUACUGUAUAUAUAUUAUGUAUUUAUUGAUUAUGUUUCGAGAAUUUAUAUAAUAAUAAUCUUUAAUUAUAUAGCAUUUUUCCUGUUGAGUUCAAAAUAGCAACAUUUGUCACCUACAAUAGAUUAGAAUGUAAAAAAUUUGAUUGUAUUUGAGGAAUUAAACAUGACAGGGUUGUGGGAUGCCACCCAGAAGCUGAUUAUUUUCCAAUAACAGCACGUACAAAAAUGUUUAUUUCCUCUUAUAACACAGCAAUUUGUCAAUGCUAACAUGUUUCUGUUAAUUAAAGAAUGACAAUAUAUAUUUUUAUUUGUUCAUAGCUAUGUUUCCUGUUUUGGAAUGUUCACGAAACAAGUUAAUUCACAGUUUAUAUGGUAUAUAACACGUUAUAUUGGCCGGUCGUUGUCUCAAUAGAAUCUUGUUUUUCUCUCUCUGAAGCUUGCCAUAUCAUGUGACAGAGAAACCUCAAAGAACCUCUGCACUGAAUCGGAAAAAUGAUAGCUUUAUCUCUUUUACAUUUGUUGACUGUUACAAAGGGCCAAAACCAUCACCAUAUCAACAAUUACAAACAGUUUUAAAAUCAGUUUAUGUGCCACAAACUGUUACUAUAGAAAUGAUCAUGCAUUAAAAUGAGGGCAUUAAUAUAAACCUGUGCUUUGCCAUGCAGCCGAAAUUACUGCUUUUUUAAAAAAAAUGUCCUUUUGAUCAAUCAGAAUUGAGAAAUCAUCAUUUACAUAUAUGGCAAUAAUCCACUAUUAACCCGAUUAAGACAAUACUCUAAUUAAGAAACUACCAUGUAAACAGCAAUUUUUAAUUACCUUAAUCUAAUUAAGGUCAUACUCAAAGUAAGCACUAAUCGAAUUAAGACAGGUGGAGCACUCCUGUUUUAGUCGCUUUAUGGAUGUGUAUUACAGACAUGUAAACACCUUAAUCACAUUAUGAACAUCGUGUGAGAGUU
Molecule: RNA transcript, 1815 nt
Organism: Ictalurus punctatus (channel catfish)
Lineage: Eukaryota; Metazoa; Chordata; Actinopteri; Siluriformes; Ictaluridae
Exons: 4
Source: RefSeq, a predicted model, not a curated record